Molecule: long non-coding RNA, 2987 nt
Filed under: Mytilus galloprovincialis (Mediterranean mussel)
Lineage: Eukaryota; Metazoa; Mollusca; Bivalvia; Mytilida; Mytilidae
Source: RNAcentral
GAUAAACAAAACAAAUUAUAAUACUCAAAAAUCCAAUAUUUCAAUAAUAAAUGUUUUUAAAACUAUAUUCUGUACAUUCAGAAAUUUCUGCAAUAUUUUUAUAAAGGUUUUGCAAAAUAAAUGCAUUUUCAAUUUUGAUAGCAUUGUUUGUUUGCAACAAUUUCUGAAAUUGCAAUAAUUCAUCUCACAUUUUUUCAAUAAAAUAUGCAAACAGAAAUUGCAGAACUAACAAACGAUGAUAAAUAGCAACAGGAACAUUUUUCAUAAUAUGCGUAGCAACAGAAAACUACAAGCUCAAGGAGCAAACGCCGAAAAUGCAUAACAGUAUUUGAUGGCAGUAUUAGGUACAUUUUGUUCACAAAUAAGAUUGCCUACAGCAUUUUAUACACCCGAUGGCAGUAUUAGGUACAUUUUGUUCACAAUAUGAUUGCCUAGAGCAUUUUAUACACUCAUCUACAAAUCAGUAAGAGUGGACAUUGUUUGUAGAUUAAGUACGUUAUUGAAUAUAAAAACAGUUUCAAUAAAAUGACUGUAUUUAAAAAACAUUGUGAUCAUAAUUAUUGACUAUAAAUCUGAAACAACUAAAAGGAACAUCAUCAAAAUGGAAAAUUACCAAGUCGUCAUUGUGUUUAACAAUUGCUAAGGAUUCAUAAUAUUGUGUACGCAUUUGUCAAUGAUUUGUCAAAGUAUUAAAUAACUGAUUGUAUAAAAAUUUGGUCCAGUUUCAUUGCUGGAUACUUCAGUUACAAUGUGAGUUCUUUGAUACAUAGACAGAGAUAUACAAUAAUGUUUCCUAGGAGAAAUAAUAAUGCCAAUGUAGGAAUGAUUACCAUUACAGCAUACAAUAUAGUUCCCUCAAAUGUCUUUUCUUAUACUCUCAUUAAGAAUACACUAAAAUUAAACGAUUGACAUUUUUUAAUGAUAAUAAAAUAAGUAACAUUUGAAUUUGGUUUUUGCUAAAGAAUUCUUAGUAAAAUUGAAGCAAAAUGAACAAAGUAUCAAACUUCUACAAAUCAACAUUUUCAGCAUAGAUUACCUUAGUCAUAUUUUGCACAAUUUUGAAUCCUUAAUGCUUUUCAACUUUGUACUUGUUUGGCUUUUAUAAAUAUUUUUAUAAAUAUUUAUUAUGAGCGUCACUGAUGAGCCUUAUGUAGACGAAAUGCACGUCUAGUGUACUAAAUUAUAAUCCUGGUACCUUUGAUAACUAUUUACAUUUCUACCAAAACAAAAUGAAACAUUUUUUUUUUUAUCAAAACAGAAUGGUUUUGUAAAAAUCACUUUCAAUUUACUUUUCUUGACAAAAUAUAGUUCAUACUGGAAGUGUCCACUAAAAUGGAAUACACAAAGUUUCAUAUGGAUAUAAUGGGGCUCUCUCCUUAAAGUUAUAAUGACAAAGUGGUUUUGAAGAGAGUCAAAAUUUCUUUGGUUAAUGGGGCAUAAAUCUGGAUAAACUAAAAAGUGAGUAAAAUUACUUCAAUUGAUAAAUGUUGCAUAUCAUAAUCUUUUAUUUUUAAAACUAAAUUUGAAGUGAUUAGAACAAAUGAUAAAUCUGGACAAACUGACAGAUUGAAAGAUGGUUUGAUUCCUUUAUACCCCUAAAACUUUGUUUGCAUAUGAUAUAAUAAACCUAGUAGUUUCUCAAAAGAGUAGAAAGUAAAUGAGGGAUAAUGAACACAAAUUGAUAGUGCUGGCAAUAGCUCACACUGGAAGUUUAUGACAGGUUACCUUUACUAAAAUAAAACAAUUUAACAAUAAUAUAUAAAGUAAAUAUAUAUAACCACAAAUAAUCUUUAAAUGUUAUAAAUAAGACAUAUAUAGUGAAAGUUAUUAUAUCUGAUCUCAUUUAAGUAAGCAUAAAAUCCACUAAAAUAAUAAAAUAAAUGGUUUGUCCCUUGGCAUCUCAAAUCUUUUAAAUAUGAAAGAAAAGUGUACAAGCUACCUGAAUUAAUUUGAUCAUGAAACAAACAUUGCUAAGUAGAAUAUAUCCCUCAAUACAUCAUAUACAAAAUAACUAAUAAAUACACAAAAAUAAAAAGUAAUGCUUCUAUAUAACCUAUUAAAUUACAGAUCCUGCGUCCCCACUUAGCUUACUUGUAAGGAUCUGACAAGACUUGGUUUUACUUUCUGUUUUAAAGACCUUUUAUGAUCCUCUGAUUUUGUCAUAAUCAUAAACAUCUUCAAAAAUCUAAAAUGAUGAGUUUGAGCUUUUGAUUUGGCAUUUUUCUUAUUUUCCUGGAAGUUCAGUAUUUUUGUGAUUUUACCCUUUUCUUUGACUGAUGCAACAAUUACUAGAAUUGGAGUGUUGUCAGAACUUAGUAAGCACAGUUAGGACACAUGUUCUGUAUUUCAAAUAUGUUAAGAAGGCAAAAAUAUCAAGAUUGAUAAUGGUACAGUAUUAAAUCUCACUAUUUCACUCUGCACAUUCAUUGUGGAAAGAGUAUUCUCUUGCUGAAUAAUUAUUCUGUAUACAGGAAAUUUGUUUUGAAGAAAUAAACAAAAGUUUCAUUUAGAACACUUUGGACCUCAAUGUGGUAUCAUCUAAUUAAUAAUAAAAAUAAAUAAAGGUUUUGGUAACUGUCCUAUUUUAAUUAAAUAUGGCCCAUAUACAGAAUAAGAUUUUUCUAAACUAACCAACAUAAAAACCCACAAAUCCAAAGUAGCUACUGACUGUCACCUAAAACAUUGUGCUAUUACAUGUAUAUAGUUACCGACUGUCACCUAAAACAUUGUGAUAUUAAAUGUAUAUAGUUUAUGAAGUUAAAAUAUAAAUGAGACUAAAACUUUUGAUGGCUUCCAAAACAGAGAGAGUUGGAGAAAAAAAUGGUUUUGCUCCUCUUUUUCCUUGAGGAGUUAAGAGAAAUAAAUACAGAUAUCACUAACAAAUGUCAAGAAUUACUUGAAUAAAGAAAACAAUGAAAAUCUAGCAAUCUUAGCACAAAAUGAUAACAUUACAAUUGAAAUGGUUAAGUUAAAGCAGCUUCGUAACA